GUUUCAAUGAGUUUUCUGUGGACAAGUGAGUCACCUGACGUGAGGUGUGACCACUCGGGCCCACUGAUCAGCUGGCACUGACACAGGGGGAGGGACACCACAGAAAGAGAAGAUGAAUAACACUCACAGAAGACAGAACAGCCGUGGGCGAUCAACGGUCUUAAAGGUUGUGAUUCUUGGAGAUGGUGGGGUAGGCAAAUCCUGCCUGAUGAACCGUUUCGUAACAGACCGUUUUGAUGAGCAUUCCUUCCACACCAUUGGAGUGGAGUUCCUGAACAAAGAGAUUGAGCUGGGAGGAGAAACAUAUACAUUACAGAUUUGGGACACAGCUGGACAAGAACGAUUCAAAAGUUUAAGGACUCCUUUCUAUCGAGGCUCAGACAUGUGCCUUCUCACCUUCAGCAUAGAUGAUCCUCCCAGCUUCAAGAAUCUGGAUAUGUGGAGGAAGGAAUUUGUAUAUUAUGCUGAUGUCAAAGCUGAUUUUCCCUUUCUUGUCGUGGGCAAUAAGGUUGACUUAGAGAGAAAAGUGGAGCGUGAGGAUGCAGAAGCUUGGUGUAAAGAGAAUGGUGAUCUUCCUUACAUUGAAACCUCAGCUAAGGAUGCUACCAAUGUGGAGGCAUCUUUUAUGGUGUGUCUCAAGAGAUGGGCAAACAUAGAGGGCCACCAGGAACGACUACCCAUGCCAGAAACAGUCCAGUUGGAUGGUGGAGGGUCUCAUCAUCGACUCUGCUCCUGUUCCUCAUAGGUGUAAGGUAUUUUCAUUGAUUUAUACCUGUACUUAUAAAAGCUGGACUCUUAAUAUACUCGUCUUUGACUCAUUUUGCUGUAAAAUGAGAUAUUCCUUUGUUGUACCACUUUUUUUUUUAUUUAUUUUUUUUUAUUAUCCACAACCUUUCAUUUUUAAAACUAAAAGUAUAAACUACUUUUCCAUCAUUUCAUCUGGAUAUCAAAGUCCAUGUUUGAUAUAAUUUACAGCAGUGAUUAGCAACUAAUGUUUCAUUUCAGAUAUAUGUAAAUUCAUUUAUUUAAUUGUUCCAAAGCAAUGCAUGAUGCUGGGGACACCAGUAUCACUCUGUACAUUGGAGCAUCAUGGAAACACUGAAAAGUUGGUUUUAAGGCAUAAUAAAUUGCCCAUGAGAGGCUUUCAUUAAGGACUGAACCCCUGCUAUCAUACCUAUAAAAUGUGUCUGAUCUCAUCAGUUAGAUCACAAGUACUUGUCAAGGCCUGACUAUCUUUGCCUGUCACUUCAUGAUAUGUAUUUAUAUAUAUACACUCAACCCUUGUAGAUUGAACAUUUCGAAAUUGUAUUUUUCCCACAGCAUAUAUCCAUUUAAAUAUUGUUUCAUAUAUAUUGUGCACCUUCCAUCCGUAGUGUGCAUGUCUCAUGCUCAGCAGCCCAUGGCAUAUUUGUUUGUAGAGAAUGAAUUUUAUAGGCUGAGAGACUUUAUCAUAAAAGCUUCUCAUUGUCCCUUAACCUCACUACUGUGGUAGUAAGUUUCUGGAAACAAAAUCCAAAUUCAGGUCAGGUUGACUCUGGUCAUUCUGACUGAGACUCAUCAGCUACUUGCUCCACAAUUGCAUAUGCUCUCUCACAGGCUUUCAAUCAAAGAGAAGAGGAAGAAGACCCUAACAUACAUAGAAAAAUUGGACAUAGUGAAAUGAAUAAUUGAUGAUGGGAAAGCAAAAUUAUUAGUUGUUACCAGUUUUUAUAUCAACAAAACCAUAAGAGGGACUUACAAGCAGUUGGACUUUAUUGUAGCCCAAACUGACACAGUGAGACAGACACAACGAUAUCCCAAUUAUCAUAUCACCAAGACUGAACGACUACUGGCAAGACAGGGAUGGUGUAAAUUUAGCAGUGGCUUGGAAGUGGGGAGUAAAGGACCAUCCAUGUUCAGUACCUCCAAGGGCUGGGUGGAAAAUUCAAGGUAAGGCAUAUCAUGAAGAAUGUUGUGAUAAAUAAAGUAGGAAGGGAUGACCAUGCUAGGGCCAGGGCAUAUCAUCUCUCUGUCACAGAGUAAGAUUAGUACAUACACCGAGGACCAGAUAUUCUGUAUGGAUAAAAUAGCAUUCAUGUGGAGAAUGAUGGCUGAAGAGGCUAUCACACUAACAUUUGUAGUAUCAGCCUGCUUACAAAGUAGGAGACUAGUUUUCCUUACUGCCUUACUCUGACGUGUUAGCUUGCAACAGUUGAUUGUGAGAAUUCAAAUUAUAGUGGGUUAUAUAAUUUUCUAAUAUCAUGGUGAUGUUUAUAAUGGUAGAACUCAUGUCACUGAAAAACCUAUGAAAUAGUUUAUUUCCUGUAUGUCAAGGCUAGGCAAGUGAGAAAUUAUUAAAAAUGUAAAUUAUCAAUAUACAUGAAGAAGAACCAACUUAGAAAGUCCAGACAUUAUUUUGAUUGUUGUUUUGCUUGUAUUUCUCAAGCCAAAGAAGUGACGAACAGCAUGUCCUAUCCUAAGGGAAGAAUGAUGGUGGAGAGAUGCUGAGAUAUCACUCAUUGAAAUGAACGAGUUGUGAAGAGGAAAGGAAGAUGCUCAAAUGGAUGUGCAGAAGACUUCCUAUCAUAUGAUGUGAUGAAAACAGGGGAGAGUGAAAUUACUAGGACUUCCCUGUCACUCUUAGUAAUAUUAUCACAGUAGGUUCAACUGUCUUGUUAUAAAAAUGUUGAUUUUGUUGGUUGACAUUUACCUAAGUAAUGUUAAAUCCAUUAUUAUUUUUAUCCUCUAAGAAUAGUUAUUUAAUGGUAAUUUUUCUCUUUGAUGGUGGUUUUUGGUAAUACCCUAAUUUGUUAUAUGCUGAAAGAGUGUUAGUUUAUUAAAGUUCUCAUAUCUGAUCAGCUUAAGAAUGCAGUGGUUGAGAUAAGAGAGUCUUGAUGGACACAAAUAUAUUUUUACCAAAAUGAAAUAUUAUGAAGAAAAUCAUAAUGCUUCCCAAACACGAUAGCAGUGUUCAUCUCGUAGUUGUCAUUACACAAUGAUGUUUGUUUUAUGUUUACUUAUUAACUGAUUUAUGCAAAGAAUUUGUUGCAUGAAGUUAAUGCAUCAAUUAAUUGUGCUUCAUUCCGUCCGUUAGCCUAAACAUGGUGACAUCUAAUUCAGAAAAUGGAUUAAUGGAUUUGAAAAUGUGAAGAUAAAUACCUCUCUUGCAUCGAAAAAAUCAACUAGUAUUGGUGGAGAAUUUCAAGAGUAUGUGUAUUGAAAAAAAUUUCUUUGCAGUUACUCUUUGGUCUAGGAAAAUGUAACUUGUGAUAGAAUCCAUGCUCAGGCAUCUUGGUAUUAUUUUUGCUCAUGAGAAUGUGUUUCAUGUAAUUCAAGAAUGUGAUAUUACAUUCAGAUUAUGCAAUUAUUUGAAAACACUUUCUUUAGAUUAUUUUUAUCUUUGACAGUCAGUUUCAAGUACAAAAGACUUGUUCUUAUUUGCCAUUCUCACAAUUAAUUUGAAUUAAAGUGUUGAAUUAAGUACAGAAAGUAACAUGUCUUCAUAAAACUGUAUGUCAUCACACCACACCAACACUCUAGUUCUCUGGGAUCAUAUUACAUUUACAACACUGCACUGAGUUAGGCCAAAUGGAGUGAGAAAUAGUAUAUAAUACAAAAUCACAAGUAUAUCAUAACCAUUAAAAAGUUUCAGCAGCUGACAAAAUCCAACUAAUGCAAGCACCAAAUUUAGUGUGUUGCAGUUUCAAACUUCUGUGACUGCUGAGGAGAACAAUUUGGGGGAUAAUGACUUGGGGAAGCAAGGUGGUGGUGAGUGGAGACGGUGCUGUGUUGUAACCGUUCAGAAUGUUUAGGAUUAUUUUUCACAGAUCCACUAGCAUCCUGUUGUAAACUCCAGGUGGUUUUGUAUUAUACACUGUAUUGGAAAAACAUUGUUAUUUGAUAUUUGACUUAUGCAUUUAAGUUAAUAGAUGAAUAUGUACCCAUAUUCUGGUGUGCAUCUUAAAUUUUUUUUUCAUUAGCACUAGCAGCUUUAACUGUGUCAAUGUCCCCCCUGUCAUCUCUUCCAAUGCCACAAUGCACCUCAUCACAGUUUCUUUUGUUCAUUAAUUGUGUUAAAACCAAAGAUCAUUUCAGUUAGUUAUUUUCUUGUAUUCCUUAAUUUGGAUAACUAGAAAUAACAGAAGAUGUGAUGCUCUACAGUAAAAUAGUGCAUUAGAUGGAUAUCCGAUGUGUGUCCGAAUGUCCAACUUUUUCCAUAUAUCUCGGAGAACAAUCUAGGAUAUCAGGUGUUUAUAUGAGUGGAUGAUAUUUGAGUGUGGAUGAUUGAACAAAAAAUCAGGCCUCCUUAUUCCUCCUUUUGAUGAUGAAAUCUCUUUCUGUAUUCCUUUAUAUGAGUUGCCAUUAUUUGCUGUUAUAAAAGUUCAGGGAGCAAAUGUAGAAUCUAUUUAUAAGUUUUUUUUUCUCUCCUUGUUAAAGAUCUGUUUUAGCAUUAAUGAUCAUUCAGGCUUGAACACUAGCUGUAAUGAUAAGAGAUACAGGUAUUCUCUGGUAUACAAUUGGGUUAGGUUCCUGAAAAUCCAAUAGUAGAAUACAAAAAUAGAAUGAAUACAAAAGAUAGUAAUGUGUUCCAAGACCUUUAUACAUACAUGUACAUGUACCCUCUAAAUCUUAUAAAAAUAAUGAAAUAUCAUAUGUAGAUUCAGUUAUUGUCUCAAGUAAUAAAACAUGUUAUAUAAGUAAAGAAACUCAAGAACAAAGCAGUGAAACAAGAUAAAUCAAGAAAUGCCACUAUACAGUGAAUCCCCAGUUUUGCAAGGGAUUAUAUUCCAAAGGCACCCUUUAAGUGCUAUAUUCAACAUUAUAUUGACAUCACCACUAAAAUAGCUAUUUGUUGUUUUUAUUAAUAAGAAAAAUUAGUACAGAUUCUUGCUAAUGAUGAUGAUGACAUAGCUGUGCAGCUUGAUGUAAUGAACAGAGAGAGAGAGAGAGAGAGAAGAGAGAGAGAGAGAGAGAGAGAGAGAGAGAGAGAGAGAGAGAGAGAGAGAGAGAGAGAGAGAGAGAGAGAGAGAGAGAGAGAGAGAGAGAGGAGGGGGGGUAGUGGGACAUUGUCACCUGCCAUUCCCAAGAUCACUCACUGGCUGUCACACUGUCAUAGUUCAUCUCUCAAUCCUACGGUGGUAACUGAACCAUGAAAAGCUUGGAGUUCACUAUAUUCGUGAGCUGAGCAAAUGAGUGUGUACUUUGGCUAUUGUUAAAACAAAACCUAAUCGAUUAUGUAGCAGGCUCAAAGUAGUGGAGAAUAAAUAUUAUAAAAGUUAAAUAUAGUAUAACAGUGAAUAGCAUAUCAGGGAAUACCUGUACAUAUUUAAAAUAUAAUUUAUCUAAGUUGCCUUAAUAGUUUAAGCUUAUAUUCUUUUAUAAUUUUCCAUUAUAUUCUGUUUGCCAUUUGUAUGAAAUCAUAUUUUUGUAAAACGUGUCACUGUACAACUAAAUUCUUACUUUUGCUGAUAGUUUCUUAAUAUGAAAACUAAUGGUGAAAAGUUGCUGCAUUUUGUUAUUUUGGUUAAUUUUCUUAAUUUACAUCAUUAUUGUCAUCAUCAUCACCAUCAUCAGGAACCAUAUAUCCCUUGUUAAACAAGUUACAAAAUCAGUUUUAUGGAAAAAUUGAAGCUUUAGUCCAAACAGAAAAGGUACUUUUUGAAUCCAGUAUUCCAUGUUACUAGCGGAACUCUAAACCUCACAUUCCAUACGUGAAAGUUAUUAUUAUUAUUAUUAUUAUUAUUAUUAUUAUUAUUAUUAUUAUCAUUAUUGUUAUUAUUGUUAUUGUUAUUAGUACUAUUAUGAUUAUUAUUAUAAUUUUUUUUAUUAUUAUUAUUAUUAUUAUUAUUAUUAUCAUCAUUAUUAUUACUAUUAUCAUUAUCACUAUUAUUAUAGUUUCCCUUCACACCAGUACAGGGACCAGUAAUGUUGGUGCAACUUCUCACCCAUCAAAACUUUCAUUCCAUUAGUAAAGUUACUGCUCAUGAUCUUGUAGAACUAGUUGCCACUUUUCAUACCAAAGAAAUUGCAUCUCCUCCCAGAGUUAUUAAGUAAUACUAAUUCUGUUUAUUUUCCUAGAAAAAGAAACGUAUAAUGCAAAGAACUGUGUUGAGAAAUAGCAAUAUAUGUGAUAAAAAAAGGAUAAAAAUCUUGAAAAAAUUUGCAAAAAAUUUACAAUGUAUGACCACAAAGUUGUUUAGUAUAUCUUAGCAAAUCAGUUGUUAAACAGGGAAUUUUUUUUUAUGAAAAUGUGAAAAUCUAUUUCCAAAGUUUAUCCUGCCUCUUCACUAAUGAAAGGUAAUGUUUUAAGUAAAAUGGCUACAUUUGAUUUUGAAACUUACAAAUUUCAACAUUCUCAAGUUCCAAAAGCAAAAUUAUCAGUUUAGCUAGUUUGCAACCCAAAAUGUCAGUGGUACUGGUAAAUCGAUAAUGCGGGAAAAAUAGUUAUCGAAUAACCAAUAACCCAGUGCCAUUACCUCAAUAAAUUAUUGCGAUAAUUUAUCAUGAAAACAACCACCUAUGCUCCCUGCGACUCACAAUCACUCAUUUGUGCCCCCUAUGAUUAGAAUCCAGCCUCCAGAAGCCAGCAGCCAACAUCAUCAUUAGCAGCUUUGAUGUGAAAUUUACAGACACUCUAAAAGUACAAGUCCUCACUGAAAUCAGAAUGUGGUGAACCAUUGCUUUUGCAUACCUCCUCCUUCAGUUCCUGAAUGACUACAUGACUUUUUUGUGACCAUAGUCCUCACCUAGUCAAAGAUCUCAUCAUUUAAGCUUAUUUGUGAUCUACUGAAAUAUAAAAACUUUCCACCAAGUGGGUACAUCACAGUGUUUCAAUUUUGAGUAAGAAUUAAUUGAAAGCAAUCAAAGCUGUCAAAGGUUUUCAAUGACUUGAACAUCUGAAAGUGUUUAUCCUGAGCAGGUUGUAGAAAAGAAAACAAGUGAUUUAUAGUCCAAGAAUUAUAAAAUCUAUGGAUUUUAUUGUUUACUGUUUCAGAGAUUAUGACAUCAUUUUAGCAUGAAACAUCACAUCGUUCAGAAGUGUUGCCAUUAUUUAUAUGAAAUUUCUCCCUAAAACCACACAUUGCCAACCCUGUAAUUUCUAGCUAUUGUUAAAACAAGCAAUGGUGAAGUUUUCAGGAAUAGGACAAAAACCCACUGAUGUGAAAUGAAAUUGACUUUAUGAUAAUUUUGAUAGCUUUCAAUCAAUUAAGAGGUGUUCUGGAUAAAAGGAAAUAUUAGGUAAGCUAUUCAUGAAAUCUUGUACAGGCAGCAUUCAGGUACAUUUUAUCAGCAUUUGUCUGAAUGCUGAAGUGUACAUAUGUCUUUACACUAGACAUAUGUAUACACUUUUACCAAAGUAAAAAAUUGCUGAUAGUCAUGAAAUUUUUUUUGAGCCAAAAUAACAAAUAUGUUUGAUAUGUUUGAAAUAGGUAAUAAAAUUUUUGUUUUACAUACAAUAAACUGAGUUUGUUCUGUUAUUAAGAAAGGUAAUGGAUUCAUCUAGAAAAAUACCAAAUAAAAGACUCUAUUCCUUAUAUUUCACUGAAAACAAAUGUAGAUUUUUUACAUAAGGUAAAUGGAAUGUUUUAAGUGUGAUAGGUUUUACUAGUUUAUAAUUUUGCAGAGCAUUUGUAAAUUAUUUAAUGAUCAGACGAUCACACCUUGAUAAGAAAAAAAAAGAAAUCGGUAUGAAGAACUAUGUUUAAGGAUACAAAACAUGUAGCUUGAUUUCAGGUUUUCUUUUAUUUGAUAAGAUUGAAUGUUUUAUGUGAAUGUCUUCACAUCUCUUAUUCAUGUGAUUAUUUAUUAUUUUCAUAUAGAUUGUCAAAGAUUAUUAGUGAAUGAGUUUAGUUGUUAAGGCAUGAACUGUGGUAAUUAUGUCUUACCAAACUACCAUUAACCUGCACUAUGGUAGUAUGUAGAAUUGGAGAAAUAGCAAGGUAUAUUACAGGUGAUUAUGACUCUCCUAAAAUGUUGUUUAUACUCCAGUGGCAUAUAAAACAUAAGCCAUGUUUUUGUUUUUUUAAUUAUCACAAUCUGAAGUGUAGGUGAUAUUGUUUGUAAAUUAUAGUACAGUAUGUCUAUAUAAUACUUUAAUUUUGUCUCUUCUUUUAUGUUGUAACUUUCUUGUCAUGCCAUUAAGAAUAGGGUAUUGAGUUACAGGUACCCUGUAUGGAUGUAAGGGAAUGUAUUUUCAUAAUACUAUUUCGUGUUUGAAUAAUCUUGUCCAAUUUGAGCCUAAAUUGCUUUUGGAUUUUGAUUCCCACACAAAUAUGUAUGGAAAUAUUAAGAGCAACAUUUACUCUGAUGAAUGGCCUUAAAAAUACAUAUAUAUGUAUGUGAGUAUGCAAGAAAGAGUUUGAAUGUAGUUAUUUGAAGUUUGAAAGUUUUCUGGUUUACAAGAUAAUACAGGUAUUGAUAUAUUACUAUGCUAAGCAAAAGCUGCAGUGCAGCCUGUUGCAAAAUAUGUAAUGAGAUUGAUAGAAGGAGAAAUAAGGAAUAAUUUUUAGAUAGGGCAUCAAUGUGAAUGGUCUGAAUGGCCAAAGAAGAGUUGCAGUUUUGAUGAGAAUCUGGCACAGUAACAGAUUUGUCUAGUCUUCUUAAUCAUUAAGAAAUUGUGUCUAUUUUCUUUUCUAUAAAGAUAUGUGAUUUUUUUUAGAUUAUGGUGAAUGAUAGGUGUUAUGUAAUAUAUUUGAUUUAUCUUGACCAAUUAAAGAAUAAAGAUUUAGUCAUAAUA
RNA transcript from Portunus trituberculatus (swimming crab), 8716 nucleotides. It is a transcript of the gene named ras-related protein Rab-9A-like, with no coding region annotated. The record is from RefSeq and is a predicted model, not a curated record. NCBI's taxonomy places the organism in Eukaryota, Metazoa, Arthropoda, Malacostraca, Decapoda, Portunidae. The transcript is spliced from 7 exons.